GACGAACGCUGGCGGCGUGCUUAACACAUGCAAGUCGAACGGAAAGUCCCUGCUUUUGUGCGCUGCUCUAGUGACGAACGGGUGAGUAACACUUGAGUAACCUGCCCUUGACUGUGGGGUAACUUCAUGAAGCUUGGUCUAAUACCGGAUAGGAUCUCCUGCUUCAUGGUGGGGGUGGGAAAGUUUCGGCGGUUGGGGAUGGACUCGCGUCUUAUCAGCUUGUUGGUGGGGUAGUGUAUUAGCAAGGCUUGGACGGGUAGCCGGGCUGAGAGGGUGACCGGCCACAUUGGGACUGAGAUACGGCACAGACUCCUCUGGGACGCAGGAGAGGAGAAGAGUGCAUUAUGGGAGGAGGGAUGAUGCAGUCCAGCAGCGUGGGGGAUGACGGCAAGCGGGUUGUAAACCGCAUUCGUCUGUGACGAAGCGUGAGUGACGGUAAUGGGUAAAGAAGCACCGGCUAACUCCGUG
Molecule: ribosomal RNA, 468 nt
Filed under: uncultured bacterium
Lineage: Bacteria
Description: partial 16S ribosomal RNA
Rfam family: Bacterial small subunit ribosomal RNA
Source: RNAcentral